Molecule: long non-coding RNA, 2240 nt
Organism: Mus musculus (house mouse)
Lineage: Eukaryota; Metazoa; Chordata; Mammalia; Rodentia; Muridae
Product: predicted gene, 35021
Exons: 6
Source: RefSeq, marked validated
CUUUGCGGACUAUGGAAGUCGCUGCUGCCCUUACACAUCCCAUCCUCUUGACAGCAUCUGGAAUCUGACACUAUGAAACUGGGGCCUAAAUUGCAAUGGUCAUCCCGCGUGGUAGAGAUACAGGGAAUACAGAACGCAUCCUAAGGAAAGCUGAACCCAGUGGAGCCAGCCCAAAGUGAUGCAGCGCCAUCCGGAUGCCACCUCCAUGAAGCCCGCAGGUCGGACUCACAGCAGAGGGACUGGUGUUUGCCUUGCAGCUUUUCUCUCAUUAAUAUUGCCUUUCCAUUCUCAUGCCCUCCCUACUUGAAAAGGGUAUGUUUGCCACCAGCUAUGGGAAGCACGUGACUCGAGCUUCACUUUCACGGUUGCUCGCGGCUAAGACGUAGCUCUGAGUUUCAGAAGAGACUCUGGAUUUGGAUUUCUGAAUGGCGUUGGGACUGUGACCUCAAGAAGACCUGGAUACCGCGAAAAGACCGUGUUUUACCAGAUUCACUGCACCAUUCGAAAUCUUCUGAGAUCAUAAAUAACUGUCAACAUGAUUUCCAGAGAUCCAAGGAAAAGGCACACUUGGGACGAGGGCUGUGUCCUCUUGUCCCCACCCCCAUGUUCCACCCCACUUUCUUUAGUAACCAGCUUUGAGGACAGCUGGUUUUUCUCCCCACGUUUCCCUCAUUAUGGUUAAUUGCAGGAGGAAAGCCAUCGCCAUCGAAAGUAUGGGAUCUGGACUGUACAGAAGGAAGAGAGUCAGAUGGGCGUUCGCUGUUCUCGGCUUCCCGACUGUGACUGCAGCGUGACCAGCAGCCUCCAGCCCUUGCCACCCGGACCCACUUACUGCGAUAGACUGCGCCCUGGAGCUGGGGGCUAAGGAAGACCCUUUGCCGUUCAAGGUGCUCUUACCAGGGUGCUUUACCACAUGAACAGUUACACACGAAAGAUGUAAAUGUGCUGUUGCUCCCUUCACCCUUGCCUCCUCCUGUAGUCAACGCUAAAGCCCAGGUGAUUGCUCAUCAUCACAACACUCCCGUCACCUCCAAAGCCUUCCAGUGAAGUUCAUCAGAGCUUUCUGCAGGGAUGCAAGAAUCCCCUCCAUGCCUUCUCUGUACAGCAUGGAGCCACGAGGUGGCCAUGAGCUGCCCAUCGCUGUGGACACUGAGCACAGGUAGUUAGGGCUGACAUGCCAGGCGGCCCAUUCCCAGUGCCCUCUGGGAGCCCUGAGGAAAAGCAAUCUUUGCAAUAUCUGACACCACCUGUGCCGGUGGUUAGGAUUUUCCCAAUUUGACAUGAGUCAGGCUCCUUUGGGAAGCAGGAACUGCAAUUGAGAAAAUGUCCCUAAUCCGAUUGGCCUGCAGGCAACUCUGUGGGGGCGUUUUCAUGAUUAAUAGCUGAUGUGGGAGGGCCUGGAUCAAUGCUACCCUCCAACAUGGUCCUGAGUAGUAUAAGAAAGCAAACGAACAAGACACGGAGUAUGCUAGUAAGCAGAAUCCUUCCCUGGCCUGUUUCAGUUCCUGCCUGCAGCUUCCUGCCUUGACUUCCCUGCAUGAUGGACUAUAGCCUGUUGGCUGAACUAAACCCUAUCUUCCUGGAGCUGCUUUUGGUCCUGGUCCUUAUCACACCAAUAGACAGCUGAUACACACCCCCUUCUAGGACAAGCUCCCAUCUCUGGCCUCACUUCCUCCCCUUACCCUCCACUCUCUAUCUGCAUGGUCUUCUUGCUUGGCUUUGUCUCUCCCACAUGCUUCUUGCAUUCUCUGCGUUCAGUGUUCUUUCCUUAAAUAUCUCCGUGGCUCGGUUCCUCCUUUGCUUUAAUUGUAGAGUGUAGAACAUUUACAUUUUGUGUGCUUAUUGAUUGAAAUCUAUGCAUUGCCACCUCCGACGUACUGUUUGUUUUCUAUGCAGACCAUCUGUCCCUGGCUUCUUUUUGGGCACCCUAUUUUCUCCUGCUUUUUUGGAUGCUGCUUACUAGUAUACUCUCUCCUUUGAUAGCCUUCUAUCUCUGAUGGCUCUUUGACCUCUGCAUUUUACGUUCUCCAUGGUUGUUUAGGGUUGAUAAUAGUCCUAAAUUGAUCUCAUUCCAGUGUCAGCUCACAUAGUCACCUCCUCGCUGUCACGCUGCAUGUAGAUGCUUCUUCCUGCCCUGUGAGUCACUGUUGUCACCUAUUUCUCUCCUGUAUAUGCCAUGGGUGCCAAACAUUGCAACCAUCAUUCUUGCUUUAAAUAGUUAGCUACAUUUCUGAGAAAAU